AAGAGGCUGAGAACAAAUGCAAGCAGCUGGAGAAGGAGUUCGAGCUGUACCGGGAUCAGCAGAACGUCCGGCCCGAGGUCCGUCUGCAGUCAGAGAUCAACCUGCUGACCCUGGAGAAGGUGGAACUGGAGCGUAAACUGGAGUCUGCUACUAAAUCUAAACUGCAUUACAAGCAGCAGUGGGGACGAGCCCUGAAGGAGCUAGCCAGGUUUAAACGGGCUGAAGCAGCAGGAGGAGACGCG
Sinocyclocheilus grahami is the source of this 242-nucleotide long non-coding RNA. RefSeq lists it as uncharacterized. The transcript has 3 exons. Lineage: Eukaryota; Metazoa; Chordata; Actinopteri; Cypriniformes; Cyprinidae. The record is from RefSeq and is a predicted model, not a curated record.